This is an RNA transcript of Phragmites australis (common reed), 848 nucleotides long. It is a transcript of the gene named protein NUCLEAR FUSION DEFECTIVE 6, mitochondrial-like, with no coding region annotated. NCBI's taxonomy places the organism in Eukaryota, Viridiplantae, Streptophyta, Magnoliopsida, Poales, Poaceae. The record is from RefSeq and is a predicted model, not a curated record. The transcript has 5 exons.
GAACCACCGCCUCCUCCCCCAGCCCAGCAUAGCCGUAGGGUUUAUUGGCGUCUCCCUUUCCGUCCGCCCCUCCUGCCGCGCCCGCCACCACGCCGCACCACACGCACACGCCUCGCCGCAAAUGGCCGCCGCCGCCGCGAGAUCCCUCCUACGAUCCAGCGCCCCCUCGUCCCUCCGCAGCGCGGCGGCCAAAGCCACCUCGCGUGCCGGUGCGGCUCCACUGCCGAGGCGGCUGCCCACCUCUGCUCCCCGCGUCCUCCUAAGGUCGCCGGUGGAGAUGAGCAGCGUGUGCCUGGAGUCGCUGAUGCCCAUGCACAGUGCCACGGCUUCGGCGCUCAUGACGUCGCUCCUCGCCGCCCCGGUUUGCAACAAGGGGUUCGGUUGGCUCUCCGAAGGUCAAGAUGAAACUAGAUGAACUUCGGGCCCCAAAAGCUGGCAAUGAUGACGUGUGACAGUAUCUAGGUGGAACGUAGCAGAUUAUAAUCCCGUCACCUCAAAUCUACAGAUGGAUGAUCUGUCGCCUGCUGUGAUGGUAAGCUGGUUUGGGUUAUGGAACACCUCGUGAGCUUAAAGUACUUGGUCGGCGUCUCAGUUGACAUGUUUUGUGCUCUGGGAUUCCAGUUUGUAUAAGCGUUUACAGGGUUAUACAUGACAUUCACUGGUGGUUAUCCAAGCAAUUUCAAUCUUCAUUAAUUCAAGUCAAAAGUUAUGCUGAUAUAUUGUUUGCCUUUUUACUCUUGGUGUGGUAUCAUAAUCUCUUCAAACUAUGUUCUGAAGUAUGGAUUGCAAAUUAUUUGAGCCACAAGGUUUCUUUCUCUCUUUUUUAAGCCAGCCACACGGUUUCUGUA